CCUACGGGAGGCAGCAGUGGGGAAUCUUGGGCAAUGGGCGCAAGCCUGACCCAGCGACGCCGCGUGGGGGAUGAAGGCCUUCGGGUCGUAAACCCCUUUUCUGGGGGAAGAAUAAGCGGGGGAGGGAAUGCCCCCGCGAUGACGGUACCCCAGGAAUAAGGGACGGCUAACUCUGUGCCAGCAGCCGCGGUAAGACAGAGGUCCCAAGCGUUAUCCGGAUUCACUGGGCGUAAAGCGCGUGCAGGCGGCCGGGUGAGUCUCCGGUGAAAGCCCUCGGCUUAACCGGGGGAGGCCGGUUGAUACUAGCGGGCUCGGGGGCAGGAGGGGGGAGUGGAACUACCGGAGUAGCGGUGAAAUGCGUAGAUACCGGUAGGAACAUCGAGGGCGAAGGCAACUCCCUGGCCUGCCACCGACGCUGAGACGCGAAAGCGUGGGGAGCAAACCGGAUUAGAUACCCUUGUAGU
Molecule: ribosomal RNA, 464 nt
Filed under: uncultured bacterium
Lineage: Bacteria
Description: partial 16S ribosomal RNA
Rfam family: Bacterial small subunit ribosomal RNA
Source: RNAcentral